UACGGGGGGGGCAAGCGUUGUUCGGAAUUACUGGGCGUAAAGGGCUCGUAGGUGGCCAACUAAGUCAGUCGUGAAAUCCCUCAGCUUAACUGGGGAACUGCGUCUGAUACUGGAUGGCUUGAGUUCGGGAGAGGGAUGCGGAAUUCCAGGUGUAGCGGUGAAAUGCGUAGAUAUCUGGAGGAACACCGGUGGCGAAGGCGGCAUCCUGGACCGACACUGACGCUGAGGAGCGAAAGCCAGGGGAGCAAACGGG
Molecule: ribosomal RNA, 253 nt
Filed under: uncultured bacterium
Lineage: Bacteria
Description: partial 16S ribosomal RNA
Rfam family: Bacterial small subunit ribosomal RNA
Source: RNAcentral